UGGGGAAUAUUGCGCGAUGGGGGGAACCCUGACGCAGCCAUGCCGCGUGAAUGAAGAAGGCCUUCGGGUUGUAAAGUUCUUUCGGUAUUGAGGAAGGUUGAUGUGUUAAUAGCACAUCAAAUUGACGUUAAAUACAGAAGAAGCACCGGCUAACUCCGUGCCAGCAGCCGCGGUAAUACGGAGGGUGCGAGCGUUAAUCAGAAUAACUGGGCGUAAAGGGCACGCAGGCGGUUAUUUAAGUGAGGUGUGAAAGCCCUGGGCUUAACCUAGGAAUUGCAUUUCAGACUGGGUAACUAGAGUACUUUAGGGAGGGGUAGAAUUCCACGUGUAGCGGUGAAAUGCGUAGAGAUGUGGAGGAAUACCGAAGGCGAAGGCAGCCCCUUGGGAAUGUACUGACGCUCAUGUGCGAAAGCGUGGGGAGCAAACAGGAUUAGAUACCCUGGUAGUCCACGCUGUAAACGCUGUCGAUUUGGGGGUUGGGGUUUAACUCUGGCGCCCGUAGCUAACGUGAUAAAUCGACCGCCUGGGGAGUACGGCCGCAAGGUUA
Molecule: ribosomal RNA, 547 nt
Filed under: uncultured bacterium
Lineage: Bacteria
Description: bacterial SSU rRNA
Rfam family: Bacterial small subunit ribosomal RNA
Source: RNAcentral